UACCUCCUGCUGGGCUGCUCCUGGUUGACUACAUAUUUGGCUCGCUGCCUUCUCUUCAUGUUGGCCUCUGUGUACUAUAGACCCUUUGGACUUUAGUUACAAGAAUAUGGCGUUUAUGAUCAUGUUCUUUUGCCUCCCAUAGCCUCUUGCUUUUCUACGUUAGUGUCACAUGUUAUGUGAUCGCACCCGGACUGUUCAUACGUUAAGCACACAUACUUUAGAUGUGUGCUGCCUUUUAUCUACAUUGCCUGGACCUUGUUCUUGGCUCUGGCCUUUCCUACUUGUCUUUAACAUGGACACUCAUGAGUAAUCCUCCAGGACGACCAGUGCAUCCUCAAGCUCUGCUCCUUCAGGGCCAGUGACUUGCUGGGCUUCGUGUUCAUGCUGGCCAUGCAUCCAUGCAUGUCAUCUAUGCAAGCGUUUCCAUUGCCACUGCAGAAUGAAGCCAGUGCACAUGGUAUUUGUCAUCAGCCAGAACUUAACUGUUCUGUGGGUCUGGGGUCACCAGCUAAGAUGUCACCUACUUUAUUUCUGGCUUUGGCCUGUGGUCCAUGAGACCCAUCCUGCUUGAUGUUCUCUGCAGAAUGGCACUUAACUGCUGGGCAUGCAUGAAGUUAAGGGCAAGAAGCAGUAUGCCAUGUGUUCUGUACCAUCGUGUGUCUCUUCUUGCUUCUGGGCCCUUCUACUGGUGAACUUCAGUCUCAUCAGGAUCUUCCCAUGCUGUGUCACUAUCAAGCCAUUAAGUUUUGUCUGGGUUGCUGUCAGCCCCAGUUGGCUUCCUGGUCAACAAGGACCUCAAGAACUGCCUGUGGACUGAGGCCCCCUACCAGUGCAUGAGACACACACCUACCCUCCCCAGCUUUCCAGGAACCCUACUGGCUGCCAGACUGAUGGGCGGGCUGUUAUGUGUGGACAUGUGUUCACCAUCAUUAUGCUGUGGCUCCAGACAUGCGCAGAAGUGGAGAGGAUGGUCCUUGGACCCCAUGUGUCCAUCACCUAGCUGCAUCAUUUAUCAGUUAUGGUCAACCUGGUUUCAUCUGUAUCUGCCUCUUUUCAUCUGUAUUGUUUAUUGAAAAUCCAAGACACUAAGCCAAUGCAAUUGUGACUACUUUGGGAGAUUGGUAGUCUCUUUUGAUGGUGAUAGUGAUGGGGUGCACUAUCAUAAUCACAUCAGGUCUGCUUUUUGCUUUUAAUGUUAACUAAUGAAGUUCCAGAGAUGGGCCUUAGAAAUGUGUUUUAAGAAUUAACAAGGAGUCUCAAAAAGAAAUGAGAGGGAUGCUUCCUUUCCCUUGCAUCCACAAAACAAGAGAGAGACUGUUCUGUUGUAAAACUCUUUCAAAAAUUCUGAUAUGAUAAGGUACUCGAGACCCUUCAGCAGAAUGUAAAUCUUUUUUUUCUGUGUAACAUGGAAACUUGUGUGACCGUUAGCAUUGUAACCAACUUGUACUGGUCUCAUAACUCUGGUUUUGGAAGAAUAAUUUGGAAAUUGUUGCUGUGUUCUGUGAAAAUAACCUCUCCAAAAAUAAUUGGUAACUGGUUGUUGUACUUGGUAAUUUGACACCCUGUUAAUAACGCAAUUAUUUCUGUGUUCCUAAACAGUAUAAAUAGUUGUAAGUUUGCAUGCGUGGUGGAAAAAUAAAAACCUGUAUCUCUGUUAUAUUUCUGAUUUU
Long non-coding RNA from Piliocolobus tephrosceles (Ugandan red Colobus), 1670 nucleotides. NCBI's taxonomy places the organism in Eukaryota, Metazoa, Chordata, Mammalia, Primates, Cercopithecidae. The record is from Ensembl.